UGUCAUUGUCUUUUCCUAUGGGUUCUUGC
This 29-nucleotide non-coding RNA is filed under the name Rattus norvegicus (Norway rat). The record is from RNAcentral. Lineage: Eukaryota; Metazoa; Chordata; Mammalia; Rodentia; Muridae.